ACCCUCCGGGGUUCCCUUUCCCAUCAGAUCUGAACACUGGUCUUGGUGGUCGUAAAAGGAGGAAAAGUUAAUACUGAAGCUGGCCUCACAGUAGUGUAGUUUGGUAUACAGCAUGUGGGCUAGUUUCAAACAAGG
RNAcentral lists this small nucleolar RNA (135 nucleotides) under Propithecus coquereli (Coquerel's sifaka). Its description in RNAcentral is "Small nucleolar RNA SNORA61 (ENSPCOG00000001629.1)". It matches the Rfam family "Small nucleolar RNA SNORA61". Rfam says of the family: ACA61 is a member of the H/ACA class of snoRNA that guide the sites of modification of uridines to pseudouridines. The record is from Rfam by way of RNAcentral. Lineage: Eukaryota; Metazoa; Chordata; Mammalia; Primates; Indriidae.